This 490-nucleotide ribosomal RNA is filed under the name uncultured bacterium. RNAcentral's name for it is "partial 16S ribosomal RNA". It matches the Rfam family "Bacterial small subunit ribosomal RNA", at positions 29 to 507 of the family's 1533-position model. The record is from RNAcentral.
AUUGAACGCUGGCGGCAGGCCUAACACAUGCAAGUCGAACGGUAACAGGAAGAAGCUUGCUUCUUUGCUGACGAGUGGCGGACGGGUGAGUAAUGUCUGGGAAACUGCCUGAUGGAGGGGGAUAACUACUGGAAACGGUAGCUAAUACCGCAUAACGUCGCAAGACCAAAGAGGGGGACCUUCGGGCCUCUUGCCAUCGGAUGUGCCCAGAUGGGAUUAGCUAGUAGGUGGGGUAACGGCUCACCUAGGCGACGAUCCCUAGCUGGUCUGAGAGGAUGACGAGACACGCUGGAACUGAGGCACGGUACGGACGCCUACGGGAGGCAGCAGUGGGGAAUAUGGGAGAAUGGGCGCAAGCGUGAUCAUGCCAUGCAGGGGGGGGGAAGAAGGCCUUGGGGUUGUAUAGCCCUGUUGUCGGGAAAGAAAAGAAGAAGGUGAACACCCCGCUGUUCUGACGGUACCCAAAGAAUAAGCACCGGCUAAAUUCGGG